RNAcentral lists this ribosomal RNA (327 nucleotides) under uncultured bacterium. RNAcentral describes it as "bacterial SSU rRNA". It matches the Rfam family "Bacterial small subunit ribosomal RNA", at positions 164 to 507 of the family's 1533-position model. The record is from RNAcentral.
AAAUACCGCAUAACACUUCCGAAAGGCAUCUUUUGGAAGUCAAAGAUUUAUUGCUGAAGGAUGGGCUCAUGUCUGAUUAGCUAGUUGGUGAGGUAACGGCUCACCAAGGCGACGAUCAGUAGCCGGUCUGAGAGGAUGAACGGCCACAUUGGGACUGAGAUACGGCCCAGACUCCUACGGGAGGCAGCAGUGGGGAAUAUUGGGCAAUGGGCGAAAGCCUGACCCAGCAAUGCCGCGUGAAGGAAGAAGGCCUUCGGGUUGUAAACUUCUUUUACCGAGGACGAACAAAUGACGGUACUCGGCGAAUAAGCUCCGGCUAACUACGUG